CACGUAGGGCGCAAGCGUUGUCCGGAAUUAUUGGGCGUAAAGAGCUCGUAGGCGGUCUGUUACGUCUGCUGUGAAAACUCGGGGCUUAACCCCGAGCUUGCAGUGGAUACGGGCAGACUAGAGGUAGGUAGGGGAGAAUGGAAUUCCCGGUGUAGCGGUGAAAUGCGCAGAUAUCGGGAGGAACACCGGUGGCGAAGGCGGUUCUCUGGGCCUUACCUGACGCUGAGGAGCGAAAGCGUGGGGAGCGAACAGG
Molecule: ribosomal RNA, 253 nt
Filed under: uncultured bacterium
Lineage: Bacteria
Description: partial 16S ribosomal RNA
Rfam family: Bacterial small subunit ribosomal RNA
Source: RNAcentral